GACGAACGCUGGCGGCGUGCUUAACACAUGCAAGUCGAACGGAAAGGCCCUGCUUGCAGGUUGCUUGAGUGGCGAACGGGUGAGUAACACGUGGGUGACCUGCUCCUUACUUUGGGAUAAGCCUGGGAAACUGGGCUUAAUACUGGUUAGUACCAUGCUGGAGGUGGUGUGGUGGUAAGAUUUGUUUCGGUAAGGGAUGAGUUCGCGGCCUGUCAUCUUGUUGGUGGGGUAGUGGCCUAACAAGGCGUCGACGGGUCGCCGGCCUGAGAGGGUGGACGGCCACAUUGAGACUGAGAUGCGGCGCAGACUCCUGCGAGAGGCGGCAGUGGGGGAUAGUGCACAAUAGGCGCAAGCCUGGUGCAGCGACGGCGCGUGGAGGAUGAAGGCCUUCGGGUUGUGAACACCUGUCGGCAGUGACGAAGCCCUUGUGGUGACGGUAGUGGUAGAAGAAGCACCGGCUAACUACGUG
RNAcentral lists this ribosomal RNA (469 nucleotides) under uncultured bacterium. Its description in RNAcentral is "partial 16S ribosomal RNA". It matches the Rfam family "Bacterial small subunit ribosomal RNA", at positions 28 to 507 of the family's 1533-position model. The record is from RNAcentral.